GAAAUAAAAAAUUAACAAAAGUGUAUAUAAGACUGCAAUUUUGAUAUUUAAGUUGAAAUUUGGAUGCAAAUUUGGAUUUGAGGGUCGGAUUGGGGAAGUUGCAUUGCUGUUGUAAUUUUGGAACAGCUAAACUGUGGGGAUUCGUAUACAUGUUGCGAUCUCUGAAUCUGAUUGUGAUUUUACUGUAAGGAUGUUUAUCUUCACCAGCAGAAAAUCUAUUGAAGAAGAUUGAAAAACAGCCCUUAACCAAUCGACU
Molecule: long non-coding RNA, 256 nt
Filed under: Ananas comosus (pineapple)
Lineage: Eukaryota; Viridiplantae; Streptophyta; Magnoliopsida; Poales; Bromeliaceae
Description: long non-coding RNA (ACOM_LNC022407)
Source: RNAcentral